This 294-nucleotide long non-coding RNA is filed under the name Solanum tuberosum (potato). RNAcentral describes it as "long non-coding RNA (STUB_LNC001024)". Lineage: Eukaryota; Viridiplantae; Streptophyta; Magnoliopsida; Solanales; Solanaceae. The record is from RNAcentral.
AUGCAAACGUAUGAACUUAGCAUGAUAGACAGGACUGCAUAUACGUGAUAAACAUUUAAUGAGGAGUAGAUAAGCAUUGUAGAGAUAAUUGAUUAACAAUACUAAAUGGGUAGACAAUAAGGCACUGUUUAAUGUUUCUCUUAAAUUAGCACAUGGCACAUCAACAAAAAUAAAAUAAUAAUAAAUAAAUAAAUAAAUAAAGUUUUAAAAAAAAGGUGCAACACUGCACAAACAUUUUUUAAACUUAAGUUAAUAGCACGAUCCAUUACGCACUUCCACAACCAUAUAGGCGAC